AAUAGAUACCCUGGUAGUCCACGCCGUAAACGUUGGGCACUAGGUGUGGGAUCUUUCCAACGGAUUCCGUGCCGUAGCUAACGCAUUAAGUGCCCCGCCUGGGGAGUACGGCCGCAAGGCUAAAACUCAAAAGGAAUUGACGGGGGCCCGCACAAGCGGCGGAGCAUGUUGCUUAAUUCGAGGCAACGCGAAGAACCUUACCUGGGCUUGACAUGCUGGGAAAAGCCACAGAGAUGUGGUGUCCUUCGGGGCCCAGCACAGGUGGUGCAUGGCUGUCGUCAGCUCGUGUCGUGAGAUGUUGGGUUAAGUCCCGCAACGAGCGCAACCCUUGUCCUAUGUUGCCAGCGGGUAAUGCCGGGGACUCGUAGGAGACUGCCGGGGUCAACUCGGAGGAAGGUGGGGACGACGUCAAGUCAUCAUGCCCCUUAUGUCCAGGGCUGCAAACAUGCUACAAUGGCCGGUACAAAGGGCUGCUAUACCGCGAGGUUGAGCGAAUCCCAGAAAGCCGGUCUCAGUUCGGAUUGAAGU
RNAcentral lists this ribosomal RNA (528 nucleotides) under uncultured bacterium. Its description in RNAcentral is "bacterial SSU rRNA". It matches the Rfam family "Bacterial small subunit ribosomal RNA", at positions 777 to 1304 of the family's 1533-position model. The record is from RNAcentral.